RNAcentral lists this long non-coding RNA (416 nucleotides) under Rosa chinensis. Its description in RNAcentral is "sRNA RchiOBHm_Chr7g0238471". Lineage: Eukaryota; Viridiplantae; Streptophyta; Magnoliopsida; Rosales; Rosaceae. The record is from RNAcentral.
AGUGUGGAGGUCGAAUCGAUCGAACCCGAUCCUAGGGUUCUUGAAUUUUUCUGGAAAAUUUUCACCGGCUUAAUUGGAGCUCUUCCAGGACGAGAGGAGUCUUCGUACGAGGAAAAUACCGAGCGACGUCAGGAUUGAGCAUAUAUUUUUUCAGUGUUGCUGCUCGGCGUUCUGAAGUGAGCCAUAGUGACCGCAUCCGCUUCCGUCAUCAUAUUUUGUAGGUUAUUUAUUUAGCCUACUGUACUCUAUGUUAAACUUAUAUUCCUAGAAUGCUCUGACUACUAAGGGAUGUGUGACCCAAACUUGUAUGAAUUAUAUUUGAGGUCUAUGACCUAACUUUGGUGAUUGUAGUAACUUGUACCUUUCGGAGAUUAUGUAUGAUGGUGGCUCCAGGUGUUGUGGUUGGAUUUUUUUAG